GAGGGGUGUAAACAUCCACGAUGUGUUUCGCGAGAAAGGGGUAACUGUUCAUUUCGAGGCAGUUGUUCUGGAGGACUUAAGUAUAUUUAACACUAUUUUGGGAGGUGGGAUGAGGAAGAAUGAAAGAGGUCUUCCAACAGAGCGGUCGCAAUCAUGAACGGUGCCCUGUACAUUUCGUUUUUCCAAGGUCAGCUGGAGUCCGCGCUGGAGCAGGUAGUGCAGCUCGCCGUACAAGAAAUCACCAACACUGCUGGGGCCACUUUGAAUUCAAUGCUAUUGGAAACGGCCACCAAAGAGCAGGAAAAUCAGCGUUUGAGGGCUACCCUUCAGUCUCGGGGAGGGAACGGGAAAAGCAAUGCGUCUAAAGGAAAAACCGACACGAACGACGAAACAAAGCAACACACCCCCGGUCAGAUCCCGGAAUGUGGCGUUCAGUCCGAAACGCUCAGGCGUGAACAGAAAGCGCGGGCAGUUGGUCAGUUAAAAUCUGUUAUGGAGCACGUGCUGGAAUUUGCCGUUUAUGAGCUGACUAAAAUCGUGGAAGACAGCUUUGACGACCUGCUCUCGGAGUACACCAAGAAGGAGCGGGAAAACCAGAUAUUGAAACGGCAGUUACUGGACAAGAACAUAGUGGAGGACAGUGAUGCGGUUGCUGUGGAAACGGAGGACCGCAAAAAUGACUCUGCCUCUCCUAGCAGUUCCAGAGUAGAAAAGCAAGAGUGGAAAGGCCUGCAGGGCCACUCACCCAAAAAAGAAAAAACUGAAACCACAAACGAACCUGACAAGCAGACUGUCAUUGCAGUGGCUCAGAACUGGGUGCCCAUCCUGGACAAAGUCUUCGGGCAGAAGUGGUGCAGUGACCUCUGGCAGAUCAAAGAGGUCACCACCAGUAAAGAGGAGCGCACCGGGCUGAGCUCGGGCUCGGUGACCGACAUGAACAGCUUAAUUCGAGAGGCGCUCAUGCCGUCUUGCCUGGCCACUCAGAGGAAGCUGGAGCUGGAGGUGGGGCAGCCACCAUGGUUGCCACUAGACGGUAUGGAGGUUGUUUCUCUAACCUCUGAGACUAAAGGCGUUCCUGUCAUCAGCUCCACAGGCGAUGACUCUCAAAUCAGAUCCCCGUCAAUGUUGCAAAGACUCCUGACGCUCCCUUCCCAGCUGCUCGAGGAUGACGAUGAGUCCAUGGAUGCCGUUCCCAGUCUGGAAGUGUCCAAAGACCCAGCUGAUCCGCAAGACGGUAAGGGCUCAAAGAGUGACCAGAUGAAUAAGAAAAAGGACGAAGAGGAUGAAGACGAGGAGGACGACGAAGAUGAUGAUGAGAUGACGAACAGGACUGAGUCCUUGAAACACAAAGGUAGGAGAAAAUCCCAUGCUUGCAAAGAGUGCGGCAGGAAGUUCAGCCGAGCGCAUCUUCUCAGAGCCCACCGACAAACGCACGAGGAGACACCCAACCGAUGCCCACAAUGUGGAAAGAGUUUCUCCCAGUCUUCAAGGCUCCAGGCUCACUUACGGACACACACGGACAAAACGAUAUGAGAGCGCGAAGGUGGAAAAAAUUCAGAAUAGGAGGAGCGGUUUUCCAGUGAUUAUAGCUUCUCGAAUGACUUGAAAAGAGGAUCUGACUUCCUUAGCAUCCUCAACUAGAGUAGCGUCUUCCUGUACUGUUUGCGUGAGGUUUUUGCAUACAUCUUGAACUUGGAGAAAUGCUCAGUUGUGAGAUUUGGUUUUCCCAGCAUCGGUGGCAUGCAUCUGAAUAUGGAUCGUUAUCUACCAUUUCCAGAGAGGCAGACGGAUUCUGCACUUACAAUUUACUCCCUGUAUCGAAAAGAUAUAGGUCCCACCUGUUACGCACAUU
Sinocyclocheilus rhinocerous is the source of this 1852-nucleotide RNA transcript. It is a transcript of the gene named myoneurin, with no coding region annotated. The record is from RefSeq and is a predicted model, not a curated record. The transcript has 5 exons. NCBI's taxonomy places the organism in Eukaryota, Metazoa, Chordata, Actinopteri, Cypriniformes, Cyprinidae.